Molecule: ribosomal RNA, 460 nt
Filed under: uncultured bacterium
Lineage: Bacteria
Description: partial 16S ribosomal RNA
Rfam family: Bacterial small subunit ribosomal RNA
Source: RNAcentral
CCUACGGGAGGCAGCAGUGAGGAAUAUUGGUCAAUGGACGAGAGUCUGAACCAGCCAAGUAGCGUGAAGGAUGACUGCCCUAUGGGUUGUAAACUUCUUUUAUAUGGGAAUAAAAUGUUCCACGUGUGGGAUUUCGUAUGUACCAUAUGAAUAUGGAUCGGCUAACUCCGUGCCAGCAGCCGCGGUAAUACGGAGGAUCCGAACGUUAUCCGGAUUUAUUGGGUUUAAAGGGAGCGUAGGUGGAUUGUUAAGUCAGUUUUGAAAGUUUGCGGCUCAAACGUAAAAUUGCAGUUGAAAAUGGCAGUCUUGAGUACAGUAGAGGUGGGCGGAAUUCGUGGUGUAGCGGUGAAAUGCUUAGAUAUCACGAAGAACUCCGAUUGUGAAGGCAGCUUACUAAACUGUGACUGACAUUGAUGCUCGAAAGUGUGGGUAUCAAACAGGAUUAGAUACCCUUGUAGUC